CAAUUUCCGGCGACUGAGACUAAUGGCCAGCCCUCGAUGAGCAGCACCCCGACUAAUGGCCAGCCGAGAAUGAGCAACACACCAGUGAAUAAUCAAGACAAACAAGAUGCAGAUAAUGCUCCAAGAGUUGGGAAGUGCUUUCAGUCUGAAGAAGAGGCGUAUCAAUUUUACAAUUCUUAUGCUCAAACCAAGGGAUUUAGCAUUAGGAAGUGCCACUUGAUGUUUAGAGCAGAUGGGACUUUAAGUUCCAGAUAUUUUGUUUGUAGCAAAGCAGGUGUGAAAAAUGCUAAUCCAACACAUGUGGCCAAGAAAGAAAAAGCUAUUUCGAGGACUAAUUGUAUGGCUCGAGUUCAAUUCAGCAUCAAUCAAGAGGGAAUUUGGACUACUUAGAAAGUUACGCUCGACCACAAUCACCAGCUUGUAAGUCCAGAUAAGAGGCACAUGCUUAGAUCGCAGCGUCAACUCUUAGAUGCCGAUCGCCACAUGAUUAAGCAAAUGAGGACAUAGGGAAUUAAACAAGCCGAAAUAUAUGAUUUUUGCGAGCUUUGGUAUGGUAAAGAUGCUAUACCCUUCUUGCAAAUGGAUUGCAACAAUUAUUUGCGAAGUGAGCGCUCAAAGUAUUUGGAAACCAAAGAUGCACAAACAUUAAUGGAGUAUCUAAAGAACAAGCAAGCUGAGGACCCUUCGUUUUUCUAUGCCAUGCAGUUAGAUGAUGAUGAUGGUACAAUAAUGAACAUCUUUUGGACUGAUGGACAAGCUAUCAUGGACUAUUCUGUCUUUGGAGAUGCCCUUUCCUUUGACACCACAUUUUCAACAAAUAAGUUUCAAAUGCCAUUUGCUCCGUUUAUUGGUGUUAAUCAUCACAAGCAGACUAUUCUUUUUGGUGCAUCACUACUAUCUAAUGAAUCUGCAGAUACCUUUGAGUGGGUUUUUAGAACCUUUCUACAAGCUAUGUCUGGUAAGCAGCCUGAAACAAUAUUCACCGAUCAAUGUGCCGCCAUUAUAAAUGCUAUUGGAAGGGUUUUCCCAAGAACACGACAUCGUCUUUGUUUAUGGCAUUUGUAUCAAAAUGCUGCAAAACAUCUAAGUCAAGUAAUCAGCGACAAUGAUAAUUUUCUUAAAGAAUUCAAAAGGUGUGUGUAUGAAGAUAGAUCACUGGCACAUUUUGAGAAUAGAUGGCAUGAGCUAUUGCUUAAGUAUCAGAUUGAGGAUAAUUCUUGGAUAAGCAAUCUGUACAAGUUGCAUGAGAAGUGGGCUACUAUCUAUCGCCGCGAUUCUUUUAGUGCAUAUAUGACAUCAACCCAAAGGAGUGAAGGAAUGAACAACGUGUUCAAGAAAACUUUCCGCAAAAGGCUUUGUCUUUCUGAAUUGAUAGAAGCAUAUGAUAAGUGCAUUGCUCGUCUUCGCCGGAAAGAAAAAUAUGAAGACUACAAGUCACGCCAUACCAUUCCAGUACCCUGCCUGCCAAACCUACCUUUAUUGAAGACUACAAGUGAUCAGUAUGUUCAACAGCACAAAUACACUGAAAAUGUCGCAACACAUUAUACGAAGAGUGGACAAGAACAACUAUACAUUGCAAAUUCCACAAGCUUUCAUUCACACAGAAAUUCGUUUACAACAUAG
This 1623-nucleotide ribosomal RNA is filed under the name Triticum aestivum (bread wheat). Its description in RNAcentral is "partial small subunit ribosomal RNA". Lineage: Eukaryota; Viridiplantae; Streptophyta; Magnoliopsida; Poales; Poaceae. The record is from RNAcentral.